This 338-nucleotide unclassified non-coding RNA is filed under the name soil metagenome. RNAcentral describes it as "partial contains 5.8S ribosomal RNA, internal transcribed spacer 2, and large subunit ribosomal RNA". The stretch from base 1 to 120 matches the Rfam family "5.8S ribosomal RNA", at positions 35 to 154 of the family's 154-position model. The record is from RNAcentral.
GAUGAAGAACGUAGUGAAAUGCGAUAAGUAGUGUGAAUUGCAGAAUUCAGUGAAUCAUCGAAUCUUUGAACGCACAUUGCGCCCCUUGGUAUUCCAUGGGGCAUGCCUGUUCGAGCGUCAUUUACACCCUCAAGCUCUGCUUGGUGUUGGGCGUCUGUCCCGCUGCUUUGCGCGGACUCGCCUCAAAGGUAUUGGCAGCGAUCAUGCCAGCUUCUCGCGCAGCACAUUGCGCUUCUUGAAGUUCUGGUGGAUCAGCGUCCAUUAAGCUUACCUUCAUGACUUGACCUCGGAUCAGGUAGGGAUACCCGCUGAACUUAAGCAAAUCAAUAAGCGGAGGA